AUGGUUUUCCCAGGAAGGGGAAGGAUCCGUGUCGAUGCUGACAGUGUUCAGAGGGUAUUUGAUCUCCCAAAUAAGGGUCCAAAAGUCAGAUAUUUAGUUGACAAGGAUGCCACUAGGAGAUUCAGACAGGCUUUCAACAUAACUGGAAAUUCUCAUCCCCAGAUCACUACAUGGCUCAAGAUGAUUGAGCAUAUGGCUGGAAGAACGGAUGACACAUUCUUUAUGGCAUGGCUUGCGGUUGCCUUCAGCACUUUUCUAGCACCAACCACGGCCUUGAAGCUCAGCCCAAAGUGUUAUGGACUUGUGCUAGAUCAUCAAAUGCUAAAGAAUACAAACAUCUGCCUCUUUGUAGCAGAACACAUUAACGAAGCUUUCCGGAACAUGGACCAGGAGAAGCAAACUGUUUGCUGCUGCUUGUAUCACUUGAUGGUGAUCAAGAAGGAUACUAUCUCUCCUGGUGUGUUCGGCAAAUUACAACUUAAAGAGGAGUAUAGAGGCACGGAGCAGACACCACUGUUUGGUGGAAUUUUGCAAGCUGAAGCAUUUGUGGCAUCCAAGUUACCAAUAACAUACAAUCCGCAGGUUGGCACCUUCAUUGAAGAAGUUGCCAAGAUUGAUGACGAGGAACCAGAUAUUGAUCCUUACGUACAGCAGCCAUCAAUGCAAACUGGGGCAUCACGUCGUGCUCCAAAAAGAAAGAGACGGCGGUCAACUAUACAAGAAGAAUAA
This 729-nucleotide ribosomal RNA is filed under the name Triticum aestivum (bread wheat). RNAcentral's name for it is "partial small subunit ribosomal RNA". The record is from RNAcentral. Lineage: Eukaryota; Viridiplantae; Streptophyta; Magnoliopsida; Poales; Poaceae.